GAUGAACGCUGGCGGCGUGCCUAAUACAUGCAAGUCGAGCGAACGGACGAGAAGCUUGCUUCUCUGAUGUUAGCGGCGGACGGGUGAGUAACACGUGGAUAACCUACCUAUAAUACUGGGAUCAUUUCGGGAAACCGGAUCUAAUACCGGAUAAUAUUCUGAUCCGCAUGGUUCGAAAGUGAGAGUCGGUCUUGCUGUCACUAAUAGAUGGAUCCGCGCUGCAUUAGCUAGUUGGUAAGUUAACGGCUUAUGAAGGCAACGAUGCAUAGCCGACCUGAGAGGGUGAUCGGCCACACUGGAGCUGAGACACGGUCCAGACUACUACGAGAGGCAGCAGUAGGGAAUCUUCCGCAGUGGGCGAAAGCCUGACAGAGCGACGCCGCGUGAGUGAUAACGGCGUUCGGAGCGUAAAGAUCUGUUAUUAGGGGUGAACAGAUGUGUAAGUAAAUGUGCACAUCUUGACGGUACCGAAUCAGAAAGCACCGGCUAACUACGUG
This 497-nucleotide ribosomal RNA is filed under the name uncultured bacterium. RNAcentral's name for it is "partial 16S ribosomal RNA". It matches the Rfam family "Bacterial small subunit ribosomal RNA", at positions 28 to 507 of the family's 1533-position model. The record is from RNAcentral.